This 749-nucleotide ribosomal RNA is filed under the name Nassa serta. RNAcentral's name for it is "partial 16S ribosomal RNA". The stretch from base 1 to 580 matches the Rfam family "Bacterial large subunit ribosomal RNA", at positions 1817 to 2925 of the family's 2925-position model. The record is from RNAcentral. Lineage: Eukaryota; Metazoa; Mollusca; Gastropoda; Neogastropoda; Muricidae.
GGCUCCCUGCCUCUUUUUAUAGGGAGUCGUACCUGCUCAGUGUAAUAGUUUUAACAGCCGCGGUACUCUGACCGUGCAAAGGUAGCAUAAUCAUUUGCCUUAUAAUUGAAGGCUAGUAUGAAUGGUUUGACGAGAAUUAAGCUGUCUCUUUUUAACUAAAUAUAAAUUUAUAAGUAGGUGAAGAAGCCUAUAUUGAAUUGAAAGACAAGAAGACCCUAUCGAGCUUUAAAUAAUUUAGUAGGCUAAUAUUAUAUUUAUAAAAAAGUUAAACUAUUAAAUAUUUUAGUUGGGGCGACUAAGGAACAAAAGAAGCUUCCUUUAUUUCACAAGUUACAUACAAGUAUUGAUCCAGCAAAUCUGAUUAAAGGAAUUAGUUACCGUAGGGAUAACAGCAUAAUCUCUCUUGAGAGCCCUUAUCGAAAGAGGGGUUUGUGACCUCGAUGUUGGACCAGAAUGUCCGGAAGAUGCAGCAGUCUUCAAUGGUUGGUCUGUUCGACCAUUAAAAUUCUACGUGAUCUGAGUUCAGACCGGCGUGAGCCAGGUCAGUUUCUAUCUUCAAUUAUUAUAAUAGCUUUAGUACGAAAGGACCAAAUUAUUGCAACUUUUUGUUAUAAAUUGAUUUAAUAUAAUAAUCUAUUAAGUUUAUAAAAUAUCAAAUUAGCAAAGAUUAAUGCAAUUGACUUAGGAUCAAUAGACAUAGGUGGAAUCCCUUUAUUUGAUAAAAUUUAAAAAUAAAGAUGGCAGAAUAA